RNAcentral lists this long non-coding RNA (1196 nucleotides) under Numida meleagris (helmeted guineafowl). RNAcentral describes it as "lncRNA (ENSNMEG00000002163.1)". Lineage: Eukaryota; Metazoa; Chordata; Aves; Galliformes; Numididae. The record is from RNAcentral.
GGGGACAAUGGGCACCCAUGGGGACAAUGAGGCACUAAGGGGGACAAUGGGCACCCAUGGGGACAAUGGGCACCCAUGGGCACACAAGGGACCCAUGGGGACAAUGAGGCACUUAGGGGGACAAUGGGCACCCAUGGGGACAAUGAGGCACCCAUGGGGGACAUAAGGGACCCAUGGGCACAACAGGCACCCAUGGGGACACGAGGGACCCAUGGGGACAAUGAGGCACUAAGGGGGACAAUGGGCACCCAUGGGGACACAAGAGACCCAUGGGGACAACGAGGCACCCAUGGGGGACAUAAGGGACCCAUGGGGGACAGUAAGGCACCCACGGGGACAAUGAGCACCCACUGGGGACAACGAGGCACCCACUGGGGACACAUGGCACCUGUGGGGACAAUGAGGCACUUAUGGGGCAAUGAGCACCCAUGGGGACAGCAGGAGGCCACCGGGGACACGCAGCAGAGGUGACAGCGGAGCCCCGAGGGGACACGGGGACAUGGGGACACUGCGGGGACACAGCGGGGCCACCAGGGGUCACCUGACACCGGGAGUGACAGCGCAGAGCGGGGUCAGCUGGGGACACGCGGCCACAACCGCGGGAGGGCGACUGGGGACAAAGGGACAGCUGGGGACACACGGACAGGGACAGGGGCACAUGGGGACACACGGACAUGGCAUGGGGUCACCUGGGGACACACAGACAGGGGCACCUGGGGACACACGGACAUGGCAUGGGGUCACCUGAGGACACACAGACAGGGGCACCUGGGGACACACGGACAGGGACACCUGGGGACACACGGACAUGGCAUGGGGUCACCUGGAGACACACGGACAGGGGACAGGGACACCUGGGGACACACAGACUGGACACAGGGUCACCUGAGGACAGCCAGACAGGGGACAGGGACACACGGACAGGGUGGGAGGUCACCUGGGGACACACAGACAGGGGAUGGGGACAUUUGGGGACACCCAGACCGGACAUGGGGGCACCUGGGGACACCCAGACUGGACACAGGGUCACCUGAGGACACACAGACAGGGGACGGGGACAUUUGGGGACACACAGACAGGGGACAGGGACACUUGGGGACACACAGACACGGCAUGGGGUCACCUGGGGACACCCAGACCGGACAUGGAGUCAUCUGGGACAGCCAGACAGGGGACAGGGACACUUGGGGACACAC